GAUGAACGCUGGCGGCGUGCCUAAUACAUGCAAGUCGAGCGAACAGACGAGGAGCUUGCUCCUCUGACGUUAGCGGCGGACGGGUGAGUAACACGUGGAUAACCUACCUAUAAGACUGGGAUAACUUCGGGAAACCGGAGCUAAUACCGGAUAAUAUAUUGAACCGCAUGGUUCAAUAGUGAAAGACGGUUUUGCUGUCACUUAUAGAUGGAUCCGCGCCGCAUUAGCUAGUUGGUAAGGGAACGGCUUACCAAGGCAACGAUGCGUAGCCGACCUGAGAGGGUGACCGGCCACAUUGGGACGGAGAUACGGGCAAGACUCCUGCGGGAGGCAGCAGGGGGGAAGAUUGCACAAUGUGCGGAAGCCGGAAGCAGCAACGCCGCGGGCGGGAUGACGGCCGUCGGGUGGUAAACCGCUUUCGCCUGGGACGAAGCGUGAGUGACGGUAAUGGGUAAAGAAGCACCGGCUAACUACGUG
This 477-nucleotide ribosomal RNA is filed under the name uncultured bacterium. RNAcentral's name for it is "partial 16S ribosomal RNA". It matches the Rfam family "Bacterial small subunit ribosomal RNA", at positions 28 to 507 of the family's 1533-position model. The record is from RNAcentral.